This 104-nucleotide small nuclear RNA is filed under the name Castor canadensis (American beaver). Lineage: Eukaryota; Metazoa; Chordata; Mammalia; Rodentia; Castoridae. The record is from RNAcentral.
AUGCUUACAUAAGCAGCACGUCUCCUAAACCUGGAACAAAACAGAGAGUAGCACGGCCCCUGCACAAGGAUGACGUGCAAAUUCGUGAAGUGUUCCAUAUUUUU